This 498-nucleotide ribosomal RNA is filed under the name uncultured Glomeromycotina. Its description in RNAcentral is "partial small subunit ribosomal RNA". It matches the Rfam family "Eukaryotic small subunit ribosomal RNA", at positions 591 to 1092 of the family's 1831-position model. Lineage: Eukaryota; Fungi; Glomeromycota. The record is from RNAcentral.
CCAAUAGCGUAUAUUAAAGUUGUUGCAGUUAAAAAGCUCGUAGUUGAAUUUCGGGAUCAAUAUGUUGGUCGUGCCUUGGUACGUACCAGUUUAUUGAUUUCUUCCUUCUGAUGAAUCAUGAUGUCAUUAAUUUGGUGUCAUGGGGAAUCAGGACUGUUACUUUGAAAAAAUUAGAGUGUCUAAAGCAGGCUCACGCUUGAAUACAUUAGCAUGGAAUAAUGAACUAGGACGUUUGAUUCUAUUUUGUUGGUUUCUAGGUUCGACGUAAUGAUUAAUAGGGAUAGUUGGGGGCAUUAGUAUUCAAUUGUCAGAGGUGAAAUUCUUGGAUUUAUUGAAGACUAACUACUGCGAAAGCAUUUGCCAAGGAUGUUUUCAUUAAUCAAGAACGAAAGUUAGGGGAUCGAAGACGAUCAGAUACCGUCGUAGUCUUAACCAUAAACUAUGCCGACUAGGGAUCGGAUGAUGUUAAUUUUUUAAUGACUCAUUCGGUGCCUUACG